Molecule: long non-coding RNA, 3304 nt
Organism: Xiphophorus couchianus (Monterrey platyfish)
Lineage: Eukaryota; Metazoa; Chordata; Actinopteri; Cyprinodontiformes; Poeciliidae
Exons: 3
Source: RefSeq, a predicted model, not a curated record
CAAUCAGCGGGAUGGUCCUGUCGUCCCGGUGGAUCUCCAGCCGGCCGGGGACCAGCUUCUGCCCGUGGCCCCUGCCGCGAGCCUGCGACGCGGACGACGACGGCGUCGACGCGGGCUUGCUGUCCUGCCACAGAUGGAGCCAAAUUACUACAAUGACUCUGAAUUUUAAAAUAAUAAUGAAAAAGCAACCAUUGAGCUGUGGAAAACGCCUGGGUGGACCUAGCCCCGCCUUCAAGGAUGAAGCUCCUCCUCUGAGCUGCAGUUUACAAGCUUCCGAGCUUCCACUUGCCCCACUCUCAGCUCCUUCAGACUCUCCAGCAGCAAUUAGCAAACGCCUGGUGGAAACUGCACGUCAUUGUAUAAACAUUGACUUUAGUCCAAUCCCUGUUUCUUUGCAGCUGAAACCAGGAAUGUCGAGGUUUGUCUCCCUCCACGUUGACAGAAGUCUCUGGAAACUCCCCCACUGAAGCAUCCUCACACCUCCCCACACACACUCGUCCUGUCAUCCCCUUGGCCAGUAAGGAAGCCUCCGUGGCCAGGUCCGGAGGAGAGAAAUGAGGCCGCACUGCACAGCGUCCAGAGUUCCCAACAAAGCUGCCAGCGCUGGACGCCUCACUGCAACUGCUGUGCGCUUUUCCUCUUCGCCUUGUCGGCGCGUGUUGAGACUUUCUCCUGCUUUGGGGUGUCACUGUCUUCCCCAAAGACCACAGCAGAGCUGCGAGAGGCGCAGGCCUGUCCAUACGGAUGAAGACGAAUGUCUGCCAGCCUUGGGGCCAGAUGUGGCUCUGACCCCCUCACGCUUCUUCCUCUUUGUACGCGCACACAAGACGGAUUCGGGGCAGAUCUCGUCAGCUGACGGUCUCUCUGUGACAGGACCGAGAAUAGAUGUUCUCAUCGUCGGCGCAGUGAGAUUCACCUCCGAGCUACGGAGAUAAAAGGUGCCUGAAGCCUGCUAGACUUUUUUUUUCAAAUGUUGUUUUUUUUUAUCUACAAAGGUUAUUUUCAUGCCUAUGAUUAAAUGAACAAUGACAAGAACAUGCUCGUGAGGAACAGAGGGCAGCGCACUGCGAACCGGUUCCCACCCCUUGAGCCUUUCUCUAUUUGUCACGCUGCAGAAUAAAAUGUCAAAGUAUUUCAUUGGGAUUUAAUUGGAGAAGCAACCAAGAGAUCCAUGGCAACUCUGGAGGAGCUGCAACGCCAAAUCCAAUCAGAUUUCUACUUACAAUCGUGAAUUUUCUUUUCCCAUCUGCUCUGGAAAUUGAUGCACUUCUUUCGAGAAAAAUGAACAUUGUUCUUUUAUUCUAUGAAAUACUGACAACAUGUCUCCGACAUUCCAAACAAAAAUUUAGUACUUAUUUGCAGAAAGUGAGAAAUGGUCAAAAUAAAGAAACAGAUGCAGUGCUUUCAGACCUCAAAUAAUGCAAAAAAAAACAAGUUCAUAUUCAUUUAGAAACCACAAUACUGAUGUUUUAACCUGGGAAGAGUUCAGGAAUCCAUAUUUGAUGGAAUAUCCAGGAGGUUUUCAAUGGUGCAGUGGGCUCUUCACCUUUUCCAGAGCUGUAUACACUUUUAUUUUUAUGUCUUGAUUGAAGAUGAAUAGUUUACCUUUCUAUGCCCUUAUGGAAGUCCAGGGCGGUGGCCAACAUAUUUUAGGAAUGGGCCACGCCCCCCUCCCCCGGCCCUCCUCUUGGGGUCGCCACUGAUUUGUGAUUGUAAAGACAUAAAACAUGGCUUGUUGAAAUAUAUCACCACCUACAAAAACAGAUUAAAAUAAACAUUAAGUCAUUUUUGAACAGGACACAGCUGGGGAUUUCAUUUCUUCUUUUUUUUUUACAGUCAAUGAUUUCAUUUUACUCCACGUUUCUUUCCCCCUGCUGCCUCUGGAUCAUGUUUCUUCUUCUUUGCGCCUGUGACGAUGAGAACUUGGCCCUCCUGACCCGUGAUGCUGUGGCGGUGGGCCCAGCUGUGGGGAAGCUUCUCACACAGUGUUUUUGCUCUUAGCUGGGUUUGGAUGAGCUCACACUGUUAACAUGUUUCUUGUUGCAGACGGAGAAAGAGGGGGGGGGGGGGAGAUAGCGGGAUGAGAAACUGCAGCUUUCUCGGUUCUGCCAUGACCCCGGGGCGUUAUCACGCUUCUUCUGUUGUCUCUACUGGUGAGCAGGUUCACAUUUAAAGGUGGGGAGACUUUUUUUUUCUUCAUUCUUUCUUUUUUUAAAGACAGACUAUUUCAGAGGUUGUAGUUCAAAAUAAACUAACGGGUUAACGGUUCUCUUUUUUUUUUUUUCUUGUCAUUUUAGUCACUGUUUAAUUUUCGCAGAGAGCUGGAAGCUGCUAAUUAAAACGCAUAAUUUAAAACGCACAAGCGGGAUAAUGAGGAGCAACACGUCCACGGAAGGAAAGGCGCAGAUUAUAUUUAGAUUCUGGGCUGCCGGAUUAACGGCUCGCGACCAGGAUGAGGGCUUUUGUCUUGCUUGUCCCCCAGAUAAUUUGGUGUUUAUUUGAGAAAAAAAAUGACAUAAUUGAAAUAAGAUUCAGUGGAUCUGCCUGUAAAUUAAAGGAAAGGUGAAGUUAAAAUCUUCCUCUCCCAGCACAGUUUCUCUGGUUUCCCAGCCUGGCUCCUCAAGGCACACCGGCCUGCAUGCUUCAGAUGUUUCCCUGCUUUAAGCACACCUGAUUCCAGCUGAUGGCUGAUUAACGGGCUUUUGCUGAAGUGCAAUCAUGUGAAUCAGGCGUGUUAAAGCAGGGAAACACCUGAAACAUGCUGAGCGCCAGGGUUGAGAAACAGAUGCUCUCCGAUGCUCCACAUUUAGGUCUGAAGACUGAGAGGUUCGUCUGUGUUGAUUUAGCGAUAUGUUAUCCUGUUGAAAACCUCAUCAGAGGUCACUUAAAAUGUCAUUUUAUUACAAGUUAACGAUGCCGUGCUCUCUAACGGUUCUCUGACGCUUCAAGAAACUCCUUUUUCUGAAAGCCUGCCCUCAGGAGGUCGCCACAACGUCUUCAACGAAGUUUCCACCAGCGCUGACCUGAGAAGCAGCUCCUGCAAUGAGCUCUGCAGAUGCGCCACCAGGCGUUUGCUGAUUGCUGCCGGCUAGUCUGAAGGAGCCGAGUGGCGGAAGCUUGUAAACUGCAGCUCAGAGGAGGAGCUUCAUCCUUGAAGGCGGGGCUAGGUCCACCCAGGCGUUUUCCACAGCUCAAUGGUUGCUAUGAGAGAUUCAAGGAUUUCUCAAACAUGCAUGAAAGAAUCAAAGCAACACUCCAGGUAUGUUUUUGAUGAGGGAAUAACGUUACAACAUGAUGUCAAGCU